RNAcentral lists this ribosomal RNA (490 nucleotides) under uncultured bacterium. RNAcentral describes it as "partial 16S ribosomal RNA". It matches the Rfam family "Bacterial small subunit ribosomal RNA", at positions 30 to 507 of the family's 1533-position model. The record is from RNAcentral.
AUUGAACGCUGGCGGCAGGCCUAACACAUGCAAGUCGAACGGUAACAGGAAGAAGCUUGCUUCUUUGCUGACGAGUGGCGGACGGGUGAGUAAUGUCUGGGAAACUGCCUGAUGGAGGGGGAUAACUACUGGAAACGGUAGCUAAUACCGCAUAACGUCGCAAGACCAAAAAGGGGGACCUUCGGGCCUCUUGCCAUUGGAUGUGCCCAGAUGGGAUUAGCUAGUAGGUGGGGUAACGGCUCACCUAGGCGACGAUCCCUAGCUGGUCUGAGAGGAUGACCAGCCACACUGGAACUGAGACACGGUCCAGACUCCUACGGGAGGCAGCAGUGGGGAAUAUUGCACAAUGGGCGCAAGCCUGAUGCAGCCAUGCCGCGUGUAUGAAGAAGGCCUUCGGGUUGUAAAGUACUUUCAGCGGGGAGGAAGGGAGUAAAGUUAAUACCUUUGCUCAUUGACGUUACCCGCAGAAGAAGCACCGGCUAACUCCGUG